GGAGAGUGCGGUCCGACCUUUUGGUGGGUACUUGCUCUCUCCGGCCAUCCUUGGGAGGAGCCUGUCUGGCAUUAAGUUGUCGGGCUGGGGAUUCCCAUCAUUUACUGUGAGUUAAUUGGAGUGUUCAAAGCAGACUUAUGUCGUUGAACAUAUUAGCAUGGAAUAAUAAGAUAGGACCACAGCACUAUUUUGUUGGUUUGCGCGCCGUGGUAAUGAUGAAUAGGGACAGUUGUGGGUAUUCGUAUUCAGUUGUAAGAGGUGAAAUUCU
Molecule: ribosomal RNA, 268 nt
Filed under: Chaetoceros affinis
Lineage: Eukaryota; Bacillariophyta; Thalassiosirophyceae; Chaetocerotales; Chaetocerotaceae
Description: partial small subunit ribosomal RNA
Rfam family: Eukaryotic small subunit ribosomal RNA (bases 86-268)
Source: RNAcentral